RNAcentral lists this ribosomal RNA (353 nucleotides) under uncultured bacterium. RNAcentral describes it as "bacterial SSU rRNA". It matches the Rfam family "Bacterial small subunit ribosomal RNA", at positions 976 to 1326 of the family's 1533-position model. The record is from RNAcentral.
UGGCCUUGACAUAGAUAGAACUUUCCAGAGAUGGAUUGGUGCUAGCUUGCUAGAACUAUCAUACAGGUGCUGCACGGCUGUCGUCAGCUCGUGUCGUGAGAUGUUGGGUUAAGUCCCGCAACGAGCGCAACCCUCGUGUUUAGUUACUAACAGUUCGGCUGAGGACUCUAGACAGACUGCCUUCGUAAGGAGGAGGAAGGUGAGGACGACGUCAAGUCAUCAUGGCCCUUACGGCCAGGGCUACACACGUGCUACAAUGGGGCAUACAAAGAGCAGCGAUACCGCGAGGUGGAGCAAAUCUCAUAAAAUGUCUCCCAGUUCGGAUAGCAGUCUGCAACUCGACUGCUUGAAGU